UACGAAGGGGGCUAGCGUUGCUCGGAAUCACUGGGCGUAAAGGGUGCGUAGGCGGGGCUUUAAGUCAGGGGGGAAAUCCUGGAGCUCAACUCCAGAACUGCCUUUGAUACUGAAGAUCUUGAGUUCGGGAGAGGUGAGUGGAACUGCGAGUGUAGAGGUGAAAUUCGUAGAUAUUCGCAAGAACACCAGUGGCGAAGGCGGCUCCCUGGCCUGAUCCUGACGCUGAGGCACGAAAGCGUGGGGAGCAAACAGG
RNAcentral lists this ribosomal RNA (253 nucleotides) under uncultured bacterium. RNAcentral describes it as "partial 16S ribosomal RNA". It matches the Rfam family "Bacterial small subunit ribosomal RNA", at positions 524 to 776 of the family's 1533-position model. The record is from RNAcentral.